Molecule: long non-coding RNA, 870 nt
Filed under: Microcebus murinus (gray mouse lemur)
Lineage: Eukaryota; Metazoa; Chordata; Mammalia; Primates; Cheirogaleidae
Description: lncRNA (ENSMICG00000048191.1)
Source: RNAcentral
UAUAGAGUUUCUUUUUGUCCCUACUAUUUUCUGCUGGUAAACCAUGGUCUUGGGUCUCAGCUGCAGCUGGAUACAGUAUUUCUGAAGACAGACUUUUCCAGUUCUACUAGGAAGAAUGUAUAAAGUCACAUGGCCAUGUGUUCACUUCCAAACUGGAAAUUCAACUUUAGUUGGGAACUUGCCUAGCAGGAGAACAAAAGCUAUACAACAGUUUCAAGGAAGAGGAAGUGGUUCUCUUGCAUGACUGUGGACCCACUCAAUGAUGCAAGAUUGCAAGAUUCAGCAAGGAGGUGGAGUGAAAACAGAAGCCUUGGACUGCUCCGUGGUCACUUUCAACAGAGAGAUAUAAAGCCUGGCUAGGAGGAAGGAGUGCAGAUUGAAGUUUGAUCUACUGGACACUGUUCUACCCACACUUAUACCCUAACACAAAAAACGGUAAUUAUCUGUUACCUUUCUCUAGUUCCCUUCUUUGUGCCAUCUUCUCAAUGGAAAAAUGAGUGAGUUUAUCUCUCAACUCCCUUCCAGCCUCAUGACUUUACAAAUGAUUUCUUGGAUGCUUGUCCUUGUGCCCAGCUAUGCACCAGGAGUAAUGAAUGAUAUAAAGAACUACAGGACUCCUGCUUCUGAGGAACACUCAAACAAUGAAAUAUGCAUGCACUGCACAGCACCUGCAGGAAAGGAAUGGCUCCAUGUUCCAAGGAUGAGUCUUUGCAAAGAAGUCUUAAAUACUCACUUGUUCUGAGACAUGCUGGACUACUUACCCAGGGCCUCCAUGUGAUCUCAGAACCUUCCUGGAGAUUAAAAGCACAGAGAGACAUGACUACUCUAGAUUUGUGUAAAAUAAUUAAUUCAAUAAAUAUGUAUCGAAAG